Molecule: long non-coding RNA, 1712 nt
Organism: Syzygium oleosum
Lineage: Eukaryota; Viridiplantae; Streptophyta; Magnoliopsida; Myrtales; Myrtaceae
Exons: 2
Source: RefSeq, a predicted model, not a curated record
AACAAGGACAGAUGUGGGAUCCAUCAAGCACUGUGGAUUAACUUCUCAAGCAAGGAGGAGACUUGACCAGACACAGUCGCUUGGCAAGAAUCAAGUGCCCACUAUAAAUUUGGCCCUUCCAUGCUCAAGCUUCAAAAACAUCUCUAACCAAAGCCAGCCUCUCUCUCUUUUCUCCCACUCUCUCUCUCUCGCGUAGAAGGUUUCGUUCUCACCAAGGUACCACUGCACACUUUUUUCGGGGGUAAGUGACACCACAGGUGUCAUAAUUUUCGUAUUGCACUCAUGUCAUAACUUGUUUUUCUAUCACUUAAGUGUCAUGACUUCUGAAACACAAAUAAUGAGUGCCCUCACUUUUCAAAAAGCGUUCACCCCAAUGAAAUUUGUGGUGAACGUUAUUUAGAAGUCAGGAAACUCUAGUGAUCUAAAAAAUAAAAGUCAUGACACUUAAGUGAUGAAAAAAUAAAGUCACGGCGCUCAGUGAGCGCGAGCGCCGUCCGACAAGUUAUGGCAUAAGUGAAACGGAAAGUUAUGGCACCUGUGGUAUCCUUAUCCCCAGUUUUUUUCAUUUUAGUCCAUGCCUAACUUUUUUUGCUACUAGAUUUGUCUCUUCGCUGCCUCAUUAGGCUCCAAGACAAAAGCAUGGAUUAAGUGCAGGGACUAAGUAGCAUAAACAGUAGGUGAGCGACUAAAAUGAAAAUAAAAAUAAAAAUAGAAAACGUAGUACGGGGAUGAAUACAUAUUGCACUUCUUGUGUCACCUCGUUCUACUUUUUUUUUUCCUCCUCUUUACUUAGAAUAGGGCAAAAACAGAAACUAGUUUUCGCCCCCAGGGAAAACAAGAUUGAAAAGAACAAGAAAUCUCCAUCUUGUUUUUCCUAUGCCAAAAACUAGUUUUUCUUUUUGUCCUACUCCAUGCACGAAUCACCUAAAUGCUCCGGUCUAGCCUAAAAGCUCGACUGUCUAGCGGAAAUAGCACCGAUCUUUUCGCCACCUGAAAACCGCUCUAACCUGAAGGACCAGUCCUCCAAUCUAUCUCAAAGAGCUCAGAAACCCGUUCAGAUGCCUCUUCUUUCAUUUGAAGGCCGAUUUAGUUCGUUCCUUAGAGGAGAAGGUAGAUGGAGACGUCUGGAACUUCAAAUUUUACUGGUGAACAAGCAGAUAAGGCCUGGGAUCUGAACAACUUCUUUUGCAGAAGUGAGAAAAAAAAAAGGAUUUUGCAAGAGGUAGGACACUGUUCUAAUUGUCACUUUGGAGAUAUGUUGUUUAGACAAAUUAAGCAUGGAAGCGAAGAUCUUGUCCUCAUAAGAAACAGAACACAGAGGAUCUUUCUGAAAUUGUAUCAUAUUUUGUUCCUGUUUAGACUAGUAAGAUCUCUUCCCUUUUUUUCGGUAAAUCUCCAUUUAGUCUACCAAAAGAAUAUUUGUUAUUGGCACAGGCAACAGAGUUCAAAGAAAAGGAAACUCCCAUGACAAAGCCACAGAAGAAGAGGGACAAUGUGAAGAUUGAAUCAGGCAACGUAUCCCGUUGGGAAAGCUGGAAUGAUUCGCUUUGAUUGACGAGAUCGACUGCAUCAGCCAGCCGUUGCCACCAAAAUAUUUUACCAUUGAUCCAACCUGGCCAUGUAAUUUACACUUGUUUUCUUCUGGCAUAUGUGAAUCUCGAUGGAAUACACACAACAUGUCAUAGAUGGCAUGAGAUCACUUCAUUUGCUCA